AGCGAACGCUGGCGGCAGGCUUAACACAUGCAAGUCGAACGGGCGUAGCAAUACGGUCAGUGGCAGACGGGUGAGUAACGCGUGGGAACGUACCUUUGGUUCGGAACAACUGAGGGAACUUCAGCUAAUACCGGGAUAAGCCCUUACGGGGAAAGAUUUAUCGCCGAAAGAUCGGCCCGCGUCUGAUUAGCUAGUUGGUGAGGUAAUGGCUCACCAAGGCGACGAUCAGUAGCUGGUCUGAGAGGAUGAUCAGCCACAUUGGGACUGAGACA
This 272-nucleotide ribosomal RNA is filed under the name uncultured bacterium. RNAcentral's name for it is "partial 16S ribosomal RNA". It matches the Rfam family "Bacterial small subunit ribosomal RNA", at positions 29 to 326 of the family's 1533-position model. The record is from RNAcentral.